Long non-coding RNA from Oreochromis aureus, 1049 nucleotides. The record is from Ensembl. NCBI's taxonomy places the organism in Eukaryota, Metazoa, Chordata, Actinopteri, Cichliformes, Cichlidae.
GUUUUACGUGGCCAUUAUUAUAAGUUUGACAAGUUCACACAAAAGAUUAUCCCUGUUUUGAUUUUGAAAUCCCAAGUCUGCAUCAAAAUUGAGAAUUAUUUAUAGGCCAGUCACAGGAUGUCAGUCACAGUCACUUCUGGAAUGUGAAGCACCUAGAUUUUGUGGUUGCAGACUGACAGACCCAAAAAAAUGACCACAUGUUAUCUGCUAAAAAUACAAGUGACAAACCACUUACUUUCAUAUGUAAACAUAACCCUUGCGAAUUGUAUGUUAACAUUAACGGGAAAGUACAUGUCAGAUUUUUAUUAUUAUUUUUGGGGGGUUAUAUAAAUGAGAUCUUUUUUUAUUUCUUUUGUCAUCUACAGGUUAAUAUAAAAAGGGGAACUUCUUAACAUUGCAUGCUUGUUUUGCCUUUUUUUUUUUUUAGUGAUGUGGCUGCCCAUAAUGUUCUGGUCUGCAAAAGAAAAACAAACUUGGAAGUCCAUCUCUCUCCUGUCUCUCAUUGGAAAUACAUCUGUCUCUUCAGCUGAUCACUUAUGCUGUUCACUGAAGCCUCAUCAGAAAUUAUCUCAGCGGAAGGGCGGCUUUCAAGAAGCAAUUCUUACACAAGGGAAACAAGGAGAAAAAGCUGAGGUAUGCUAGAUUACACAAGAACUGGGCUGAAAAUCAGUUGCAACAGGCCUGAUGGAGUGAUGAAUCCAAAUGAGACAUUUUAGGUUCAAGUCAUAAUUAGAGGAGCUCAGGAGAGAGGUGCAACAGUGAGAUGCCUGCAGUGGUUUGAGACUGUAUUUCAGCCACUGCUGUUGAGAAUUUUGGCAAAACUGAUGAAAUCAUAAAUACAGAAAAGUACCAAAGCAUUUUUAUUGGCAGUGGCUUAAUUUUUCUGCAUGACAACGAUCCCAAAGACACUGUAAAUGCAAUAAAAAUACACCUGGAUAGAAAAGACACAUAGGUUUCAUCAUCCAAAGAAGACUGCAGACUUUUGCAGGGUACAAUAAAUUGUAUACACUGCAGCUAGAAUAAUCCUUCUGGCUGAGAUGGUACAGGUA